Molecule: microRNA, 25 nt
Filed under: Canis lupus familiaris (dog)
Lineage: Eukaryota; Metazoa; Chordata; Mammalia; Carnivora; Canidae
Description: cfa-miR-8868
Source: miRBase by way of RNAcentral
CCCUGUGCUGUAGAAGCUUCCCUGC